Molecule: ribosomal RNA, 465 nt
Filed under: uncultured bacterium
Lineage: Bacteria
Description: partial 16S ribosomal RNA
Rfam family: Bacterial small subunit ribosomal RNA
Source: RNAcentral
CCUACGGGAGACAGCAGUGGGGAAUAUUGCGCAAUGGGCGAAAGCCUGACGCAGCGACGCCGCGUGAGGGAUGAAGGUCUUCGGAUCGUAAACCUCUGUCAGCAGGGAAGAACGGUCACUGUGCUAAACAGCAGUGAAUUGACGGUACCUGCACAGGAAGCACCGGCUAACUCCGUGCCAGCAGCCGCGGUAAUACGGAGGGUGCGAGCGUUAAUCGGAAUUACUGGGCGUAAAGCGCUCGUAGGCGGUAUGUCAAGUCAAGGGUGAAAUCCCCGAGCUCAACGUGGGAACUGCCUUUGAAACUGGCAAGCUGGAGUGUGUGAGAGGAUGGCGGAAUUCCAGGUGUAGGGGUGAAAUGCGUAGAUAUCUGGAGGAACAUCAGUGGCGAAGGCGACUAGCUGGCACAUGACUGACGCUGAGGAGCGAAGGCGUGGGUAGCAAACAGGAUUAGAUACCCGAGUAGUC